RNAcentral lists this RNase P RNA (455 nucleotides) under Gloeocapsopsis sp. IPPAS B-1203. Its description in RNAcentral is "RNase P RNA component class A". It matches the Rfam family "Bacterial RNase P class A". Rfam says of the family: Ribonuclease P (RNase P) is a ubiquitous endoribonuclease, found in archaea, bacteria and eukarya as well as chloroplasts and mitochondria. Its best characterised activity is the generation of mature 5'-ends of tRNAs by cleaving the 5'-leader elements of precursor-tRNAs. The record is from RNAcentral. Lineage: Bacteria; Bacillati; Cyanobacteriota; Cyanophyceae; Chroococcidiopsidales; Chroococcidiopsidaceae.
AAGAGUAGGCGCAGCGGUUGCGGAACAGCUUUAACUGCUGUUCUGAGGAAAGUCCGGACUCCCGAAAGACCAAACUUGCUGGGUAACGCCCAGUGCGGGCGACCGUGAGGAUAGUGCCACAGAAACAUACCGCCGAUAGACGAGGAGCGAGGAGCGAGGAGUGAGGAGCGAGGUACAAAUUAAACCCUAACCCCUAACCCCUAACUCCUAACCCCUCUUAAAGGUAAGGGUGCAAAGGUGCGGUAAGAGCGCACCAGCAGCGUCGAGAGGCGCUGGCUCGGUAAACCCCAGUUGGGAGCAAGGUCGGAGGAACUAUGGUUGGUCUUUUACCAGUUCCGUUAUUGGAGAACCGCUAGAGGCGUCUGGUAACAGACGUCCCAGAUAGAUAACCGCACUUUGCUAGCAACAUUGUUGUUAGGAAGCAACAGAACCCGGCUUAUGUCUUGCUCUUUCCC